This is a long non-coding RNA of Lucilia sericata (common green bottle fly), 269 nucleotides long. RefSeq lists it as uncharacterized. Lineage: Eukaryota; Metazoa; Arthropoda; Insecta; Diptera; Calliphoridae. The transcript has 2 exons. The record is from RefSeq and is a predicted model, not a curated record.
CAAAAAAGUUAAAAGAUUUAAAAACAAAUAAAAAAAAUUACACAAUUAUGGCAAAAAAGCGAAAUUUUCGUUUAAUGUAAACAACAACGCCAUUUUAGGCAAUAAUUGACACAGAGAUUUUUGAAUUUGGAAUAAAAAUGUCAACGCAGGAAAUGCAGCAACAGCAGACAGCAUUAGCCACAACAACUUUAAGCAGCAAUAAAAAUAAUGCAGCAAUUUCAAAGGGUCAACAAAUCUCAUACAAUCAUCAAGAGAAAACCCUAAAAGUU